CCUACGGGAGGCAGCAGCAGGGAAUCUUGCGCAAUGGGCGAAAGCCUGACGCAGUAACGCCGCGUGGGGGAUGAAGGCCCUCGGGUUGUAAACCCCUUUCAGCAGGGACGAAACUGACGGUACCUGCAGAAGAAGCCCCGGCCAACUACGUGCCAGCAGCCGCGGUAAUACGUAGGGGGCAAGCGUUGUCCGGAUUCAUUGGGCGUAAAGGGCACCUAGGCGGUUACGCAAGUCGGAUGUGAAAGCUCCAGGCUCAACUUGGAGAGGCCACCCGAUACUGCGUUGACUCGAGUCCGGUAGGGGAUCGUGGAAUAUCUGGUGUAGCGGUGAAAUGCGCAGAUAUCAGGUGGAACACCGAUGGCGAAGGCAGCGAUCUGGGCCGGUACUGACGCUGAAGUGCGAAAGCGUGGGGAGCGAACAGGAUUAGAUACCCUUGUAGU
RNAcentral lists this ribosomal RNA (440 nucleotides) under uncultured bacterium. Its description in RNAcentral is "bacterial SSU rRNA". It matches the Rfam family "Bacterial small subunit ribosomal RNA", at positions 338 to 794 of the family's 1533-position model. The record is from RNAcentral.